Molecule: non-coding RNA, 1557 nt
Organism: Danio rerio (zebrafish)
Lineage: Eukaryota; Metazoa; Chordata; Actinopteri; Cypriniformes; Danionidae
Source: Ensembl
CCCGCAGCAGCUCUGGCCCGUAGCAGAACGAAGAUCUGCGGGAACUUCAGCACCAUACACACAAACAGAGUGCUGAAAUUCGCCACAUGAAGGCUCAGAUUCCCGUCCAUCUCUGUCUCCUCCAGAGUCCUGCGCCUUUAAUCCAGCUCUGUGAAUCUGAUCCUGGCUGCUGGCACCGAAGAGUCCCAGCUGUUACCAUCGGCACUUCCGCACACAUCAGCGCGCGAGAUUUGACCCUCUACAGCGCCCGUACAGCUCGACUGAGGGAUGCUGCUACUACAAUGCUUCUCUUAUUUCUGAAGACAACAGGUCGUUAUUUGAAAACAGGGCAUCUUUAUUGAACUUUCCUUCAGCUGAGGUUACAGCCCUCUGGAUCACUAGCUGUUGCCGGGAGCGAUGACUGGUCGUAAGAUCAAUGACUCCAUCUGCUGGUGUGUCUUUAUUGUUUGGAAGUGUUCCAUCAUUUCCUGGUCUGUCACCUGACCGCUGCGGAUUAAAUGGUAUGGGCACUGGUAUGGGUAUGGGGACUGGCAAUGGCACAAUCACUGGAUAGGGCACUAAUAACGUUGGUGGAGGCACUAAGGGGGCCAGAGAAGGCAUGCCAAUAUUCAUAAUAGGUGGAACUGGGAUGGGACCAGAUGGCAUCAUGUUAACUGGGGGGAAAGGCAAGCCUGGCAUGUGGGCAGCAGGGUGAGGGGGCAUUAUACCUGGAGGGUUCCCAGAAAGGGUUGGGGUAGAGGAAGGGUGUAAAUGGGGGGAAAGGAGUGGGCGAUGCAUGGGGCUUGAUGGAGGACACAAAGUCCGUGGAGGUGGUGGUGGCCCAAUGCCAGGAAUCAUGGGAUUGGAAUGAGGGCUGUUUGGGCCUGGUGGGCGUAGAAACGGAGGGCGCAUCUGCUGCAUCAUCUGGUGCUCCAUGAAGAUAGGGAAAGGAACUGGGCCUCGAGGUGUCAUGACCAUAGGUGGGCUGCCGGGUGGCAUACCCAGAGCUGGAUGUAGCCCUGAUAUAGAUGGUGGAUGAGGUGGCGGUAAAGAAGGGCUUUCGUGUGGCCGCGGUGUGGGUAUUUUCGUUGAUGAUGAUGAUGAAGAUGAUGAGGACGAUGAGGAACACACAGUUCCAGCUUCAGAUGGUGACCCUGACGUGGAUCCAGAAGGUCCAGCUAUAGUGGCACCCACUGGUGAAGGUGCCUUUCGACUGCGGAGCUCACUCAGAGGUGCACUCCAGGACUCAGGUGUAAGGAGCUGUACACCCGCACCGCUCUCUGAUUUUGUAUCACUGGUGGGGAGAGGAGGGUUACACAAACCCCCUGGCAGAGCAGCCUGAGUCUCUUUAUAGAAUAUGUCCAUCUUAUAUUGGUUCAGACACUUAGCACUGCAAAACUGAAGCCUCCUCUCACCAGCUCCAAAAUCCAGGUAUUCCUUAGUGUGGCGGAUGUGUUUGCACCAAUCACAGACCUGCAAUUUGAACAACCACAAAGUAAACAUUAUAAACAAAAGACUCAUAGUUUACAGCUUAUAUUUUAAAGCACACAAAUUUGAAACCAAACACUCGCCUUGGAU